This 478-nucleotide ribosomal RNA is filed under the name uncultured bacterium. RNAcentral's name for it is "partial 16S ribosomal RNA". It matches the Rfam family "Bacterial small subunit ribosomal RNA", at positions 28 to 523 of the family's 1533-position model. The record is from RNAcentral.
GACGAACGCUGGCGGCGUGCUUAACACAUGCAAGUCGAACGGUAAGGCCCUUCGGGGUACACGAGUGGCGAACGGGUGAGUAACACGUGGGUGAUCUGCCCUGCACUUCGGGAUAAGCCUGGGAAACUGGGUCUAAUACCGGAUAGGACUCCGGACUGCAUGGUCUGGGGUGGAAAGCUUUUGCGGUGUGGGAUGGGCCCGCGGCCUAUCAGCUUGUUGGUGGGGUGAUGGCCUACCAAGGCGACGACGGGUAGCCGGCCUGAGAGGGUGACCGGCCACACUGGGACUGAGUUACGGCGCAGACUCCUACGGGAGGCAGGAGUGGGGAGUAUUGCACAAUGGGCGCAAGCCUGAUGCAGCGACGCCGCGUGAGGGAUGACGGCCUUCGGGUUGUAAACCUCUUUCAGCAUCGACGAAGCGAAAGUGACGGUAGGUGCAGAAGAAGGACCGGCCAACUACGUGCCAGCCGCCGCAGUAA